AUGGCCGCCUUCGACGCGGCCGUCUCCGGCCUGGACACGGCGCCCGACCUCCGCCUCGCCGCGCACCAGUACGAGCAGCUCCUCCACUUGCUCGCCUCCGCGGACGCGCGCCGCGUUCCCCCGGCCGCCGCCGCGCGCCGCGUACACCGAGGGCGCGACGAGGCCUUCGGGCUCGUCUCCACCAUGCGGCAGAAGUACGGCCUCGCGCCGCGCCUCCGGUCCUACAGCCCCGUGCUUGCCAUGUUCCGGCGCGCCGGGGAGGCUGGAAAGGCCUACGCGGUUGAGGCCCACAUGGCGGCCUCCGCUGUAUCGCCGGAAGAGCCCGAGUUCGCCGCACUCCAUGAGGUCAGCGCAACAGUUUGGGACGCAGACAAGGUGUAUGAGUAUAUGCACAAGCUGCAGCGAGCUGUCGGCUGUGUGAUAGAGGAGACCACCGAGGUCUUGGAGGGGCGGUUCCGGUGCGAGAAGGCGGCAACUGCUGGUAAGGCUGAGUGGGAUGUGUGUCAGGUGAGGACGCCCUUGCGGCGAACGACGGUGGGUGCUAUCAACUGGGGUGGCUUUGGACCAGACCAUGGAUGGUGCAGCGAGCCUGGAGAUAAACCCCAUCACAGCAACCGCUUGUCGGCCAGCAGACGUGAUGAGGGGCUCGUCGGCACACCCAUGGCACCGCUGCGGAGCUAUCUUCCUCUUCCUCGCAUCGGCUCGAGGUGGGUGGAGGAGCUCGGCGCCCAUGACCUCCACAACGGCUCCAUCGACGCGCUCCACUGUCUUCUCGCCGGCGCGGGUCUCCGCCUGCCCCCGCACCCGGACGCCGUUGAGUUCGCUGCAAGGAGCAAUGGCAAGCAGCAGCAUCGGUGGCAAGUAGAAGCAGUGGGCAGCAGCAGCAGAGGGCAGAAGCGGCAGGCAGAAACGGAGGGCUGCUGCCGUGUCGUGAUUUGGAUGGAAAAUUGGAGACCGUGUCCUCCAACACAAUCAAUGGAGUGCCCGACCCGGAUUUUACUUGCCUGCUAUAAGAAGGAAGGGUUCUCGGUCGGAUUCUCCGUCAGGUUGCCUCCUUGGACCAUAAUCUUCAUCAAAUCCCGUCGAAAAUGUCAUGAAACGUCCAAUGUCGCCGCCGAGUUCGCUGGAGGAAGAAGCGCCGAGUUCGCCGGAGGAACAAAAUCAUCUGUUUAG
RNAcentral lists this ribosomal RNA (1173 nucleotides) under Triticum aestivum (bread wheat). RNAcentral describes it as "partial small subunit ribosomal RNA". Lineage: Eukaryota; Viridiplantae; Streptophyta; Magnoliopsida; Poales; Poaceae. The record is from RNAcentral.